UAAGGCCAGGCAGGUGACUAUAAAAGCUUCAGCACAAGAAGAGGCCCUGUCCGACCCCUUGGAUUAGAUACAAGAGUUUAAAAGAUGGAGGGAUUCUUUCUGUUGUAAUGAGCAUAAACAGAGAGUGAACAGUGAUUUGUUCACGACUCCAGCAUGGACUCAGCACAGUGGAGUCUGUGGCGGUUUCACCCCAAGGCCAGACGAGUGGAGUCACGCCUUUCCCCGGGUCCUGAGGAAUGUGUUACGGAAAAAGACACGUGGUAAAAGUGUCUAACAGCGGACGAAAGAGAGAGAGGAAGUUCAAACUCAAGGAACAGAUUCUAAUAUAUCUGUGUGAACAAAGGGUUUGACUAACCUGUGUGGGAGGGUAAGAUUCGGAGGGGAAAAAAAGAAAAAUAGGCGUGGAGGUUUCACAGUUUCACAGUUUCACCCCCCAGCUCUCAUUCCUGUCAUUCAACAACUUAUAUGGCACAGGGACAGGUCGGCGUCUCACUCCUACUACACUGACAGGGUCAUGUUUGGCUGAGCACAUGUGGAAUUCUUAACUGGAACUUUUUAAAGAAGGAAAGAAAAGAAAACCCUCCUGUGGCAGGUGUGACCUCAAACCAGGGACAAGAGGACGAGACACCUGUCAUCUAUCUUAUAACGACUCAAUAUCAUCCUGAGUAAAACACUGGAUAAACCGAGGAGACGCUUGUGGACAGAAACUGAAUCGUGGUUUCAGAGUGGUGCCUUUUAAAACUGGAUCAGAGAUGAACAAAUCACCUCAGACGUCUGUGAGAAUGGAAGAGGAACCACUGAACACCACGGCAGGUUCGGCUGAUGAUAUUUUAGAGAGGAGCAGAAGUCCAGGAGGUGCCGCGUCCUGCUGGGAGGACAAGUACCACAGGAAACUGGCCAUCUGCAGCAUCAUCUGUGGGUUCUCCUGCAUCGGGAUCAACGCUUUGAUACAUUCAGUCAAGGUGC
Pleuronectes platessa (European plaice) is the source of this 966-nucleotide long non-coding RNA. RefSeq lists it as uncharacterized. The record is from RefSeq and is a predicted model, not a curated record. NCBI's taxonomy places the organism in Eukaryota, Metazoa, Chordata, Actinopteri, Pleuronectiformes, Pleuronectidae. The transcript is spliced from 2 exons.